RNAcentral lists this ribosomal RNA (481 nucleotides) under uncultured bacterium. Its description in RNAcentral is "partial 16S ribosomal RNA". It matches the Rfam family "Bacterial small subunit ribosomal RNA", at positions 28 to 507 of the family's 1533-position model. The record is from RNAcentral.
GAUGAACGCUGGCGGCGUGCCUAACACAUGCAAGUCGAACGGAGAUUACGGACGGAAGUUUUCGGAUGGAAGACUGUAAUUCUUAGUGGCGGACGGGUGAGUAACGCGUGGGCAACCUGCCCUAUACAGGGGGAUAGCAGCUGGAAACGGCUGGUACGACCGCAUAAGUCGGCGAGACCGCAUGGUUUUGCCGGGAAAUGAGCAAUCAGGUAUAGGAUGGGCCCGCGUCCGAUUAGCCAGUUGGCAGGGUAAAAGCCUCCCAAAGCAACGAUCGGUAGCCGGACUGAGAGGUCGGACGGCCACAUUGGGACUGAGACACGGCCCAAACUCCUACGGGAGGCAGCAGUGGGGGAUAUAGCACAAUGGAGGAAACUCUGAUGCAGCGACGCCGCGUGAGUGAAGAAGUAUUUCGGUAUGUAAAGCUCUAUAAGCAGGGAAGAUGAUGACGGUACCUGACUAAGAAGCCCCGGCUAACUACGUG